GGGGCCGUAGUCUAGCCAGGUCUUGCGGGUACUUGACCCGUGAGUAGCAAACAAGGCACCAGCCUGCGGAGUUGGUUGUCCCCGGUUCGAAUCCGGGCGGUCCCGCCA
RNAcentral lists this transfer RNA (108 nucleotides) under Candidatus Thorarchaeota archaeon. RNAcentral describes it as "tRNA-Arg". The record is from RNAcentral. Lineage: Archaea; Promethearchaeati; Candidatus Thorarchaeota.